This is a long non-coding RNA of Lolium perenne, 2972 nucleotides long. RefSeq lists it as uncharacterized. NCBI's taxonomy places the organism in Eukaryota, Viridiplantae, Streptophyta, Magnoliopsida, Poales, Poaceae. The record is from RefSeq and is a predicted model, not a curated record.
ACCGUUCUCGUCCCGCUUUCUUUCAUCAGCUCCCGUUCCUUUCAUCCAUCAUCCCACCCCCGGCGAUUCCGCGCAAAAUUGAUGUGAAUUGCCAAAACUACCGCGUAAGGAAAUUGCUACUCCCGUCACUCAUGUUCUGGCUGGGCGAGGUCGCACAUCUGGGCAUCUCCAUACUCCAAAUCCCCCCUGAAGUCCUGAUGGCACCACCCCCAAUUCCAGGCCUAACUCUAGGCGGGACUGCGGCGGAUUGCGCCCCCGCUCCGGUGGUCCUUCCCAGGUAGGCCGGCACGCAUCUCGCCUCUCGAUCUCCUCUCCCAUCUUUGUUAUGGCGUUCCUGCUCGGAGGUGCACGCCGCCACGUGUAGUCGAGCGGGCAAGAUCAGCACUCUGUAGGCUAGGGCCAACCAGGAGGAGGAUCUAGCGACCAGACCACCACCAUCAGCGCAAGAUGUCCGGGAAGGAUGAUUCUGUACCAAACUUUGCCCCGUUGUUUUUGGUAAUGAGGCCGUUGUGAUUGAUGAUGAGGAGGAUAUGCCUCUGGUCCCUCCAUAGUUGAUAAUUGGUGGGAAGCAAAUUUGGUGCACAUGAGCACCAGUUUUUCAAAAUAUUUAAAAACUGUAUUUCUGCGAUCCAAAAAAUCAUCACAUUUAUUCCAAAAAUACAUACACAUGUUCUGAAUAUUUAUGAAAAAUUUCGGUAGAAAUUACAUUAUAUUUUGAGCUACAGGAAAAAAACAAAUUUGUGGCUACGUAUAGAUGUAUAUAUUUGUCAGAAAUUUGUCUUUUUUGUAUAGCUUAAAAUAUAACAUAUUUUUCUCUAAAAUUUCUACCGUACCUUCAAAAUGUAUAUAUGUGUGUGGGUAUUUAAUUUCAUAUUUUUUGAAAUCCAAAAAUAUGAUUUUUAAAAAUCAGGAGCACUGGUGCUCAUGUGCCAAAUACACUUUUCGUAGUUGGUGCCUCUUCAUUGGUGCUUGUUGUAACACUUCAAGUGCUAUAGUGCAGUUAAUUUUGCAGACCAGACCUUUGUAUUAUAGUGUUGUUGUAGUUCUGUUUUUUACCGCUUUGGAUUUAUGUUUAUUCCUUAUAUGCUUGCCGUUGGUACCUACUGGGGUGGCUGCAGCACUGCCUUCUUCAGUGCAUUCAGCCUAGACUGGCUGUUCUGUCCUGUUUAGUGUGUACUACACAACUUGUGCUUUUGUUGCUUCACGGGUGUAUUGCAUGUGCAUCUGGUAGGAUGGUAGCCUUCUAUACAUAGUGUGGUGCACUGGUGUACAUGCAUUGUAAUGAUAUUUAUGCAGCUACCCGCAAUAAAAUUAAGUAACCUCCCAACCAAGUUGGAUUGGAGUACAAUGUCUUAUAUUUGGUAGAAUGAAAAAAUCCGAUUCGUGAAUUCGAAUUGUUACUGGUCUUGAUUUCUUCUUCUUUCUACAAUGUAAGCUCUUCCAGUGUCACAACUCAUGGAACAAGCCAUAAAGCGACUCUUUGAAGAUAUGCAGUGAUGUUUACCUCCAUCUUACAAGACUCAAAGACAACAGUAAAUGGUAACUUUUGUGUGAUUUAUCAUUUAGAUUCGCCCAUUUAAAUUGACCUUUUAAGUUGAUCUAUCAUUUGGAUUGCCUAUAAAUAUUAGCACCAUUAUUUUUCUCAUUAUGCUUCUUUAGAAUCUGCUGCAAGGGCCUGAUUCUUAAGAUCUUCUUUAAUUUAAAUUCUCACAGGUGUCUCUUCACUCUAUUUCCAAGAAUGCUUGGAAAUAUAAUCUCCAUUGUUGUGCUACGUAAAUGUUGGAAUGUGUGUAUGAUUAAUUCAUCUGUGAGCUCUUAUAUUUUAUUAAGCUUGAUCUACACAUGAUACCAGUAUCUCCGCUCAUCACAUUUCUUACAGCCCUGAUAUUCUUGUAAAAGGUCUCUUUGAUGCAGAACAAUAGAUCCAUAUAUUUAUUUUGUUUGAUACACUUUUUUUUAAUAUAGAUGUUAUUCACCGUGCUCACCAAGCUCUGGGUACCAACUGCUCUGGCAUUCAUUUGGUUCCUAUAUAUGUUCAGUUAUACCAUAUCUAUUAGGAGAGCUGUCGACAACUUUAUGCUGGGAGCAUGUAAUGAUGGUUGUUUUAGUUUGUUCACUCACAGUUGACUCUCUACUGAUCUCUGAUUAAUUUAUUCUGUUUGAAGCACGAUGCACAAAAUUAUGCUUGGUGUCUUAGAAAAUAGCAUCGGAGUAUAUUAGCAACUAUGAUGACAUAGCACAAUGCUCACUCUCUCGGUGUCUUAUUUUCUUCGUUUCUUGACUAAUCAACUUUGUGCAAAACUACCAACAAACUAUUUCUCCUAAAGCUGCGGCUUAAUUAAGAUACUAAAUGAUCAUAUAAGUGUAAGUGCACUGUAUAUGUUGUUAGUUUCUUAUUGCGCACAUGGUUACAUCCCUUUAACCAUUUUUUGCGUUUGAUGAAUUGCUAACUAGCGGAUGUGUAUAUCAGAGCGAUCAUGUUUGAGGACCUCUCCCUUCUCACACAGAUGGUUAGUAUGAAGUAAAGGAGCAACUCAAGGAGAUUAUGCCUACAAAGCUGAUAGGUCGCCUUACAGAAUUAAGUUGUGAGUCAUGUCUGAAAUACUCCCUCCUGUCGGAUUAGAUUGACGCAGGCUCGGGCAUCAAGUACACAAAUGUUGGUACUGUUUCGUGUCGAUUAAUUUCGACCGGAGGUAGUAUUUCAUUUUUUCAUGGUUUUAUUGUUGUAUGACCAUGCAUGUUUCUUGUGCUAAGUAUCCCUUCGAGGUUUUAUUGUUGUAAAACACCUUACUAUAUACCUCACAUGCAAAAAUAAGCACAAUUUUCUUAUCCAGAAGCAAUAGACCUCAUGAUUAUAUUAUUAUGAUGGUCAAAUAUCCCUUCGAGGUUCAGAUGUAUGCCUUGCUUAAUCUGAUAUUUUUCUUGUUAUUCAUUCACACAGAACUUUGUAUGGAUAUUUUGACUUAUUUGUA